RNAcentral lists this ribosomal RNA (695 nucleotides) under uncultured bacterium. RNAcentral describes it as "bacterial SSU rRNA". It matches the Rfam family "Bacterial small subunit ribosomal RNA", at positions 51 to 755 of the family's 1533-position model. The record is from RNAcentral.
ACACAUGCAAGUCGAGCGGAGACAGUGAGUAGCUUGCUAUGAGCUGUUUUAGCGGCGGACGGGUGAGUAACGCGUGAGCAACCUUUCCCAGACAGGGGAAUAACACACCGAAAGGUGUACUAAUACCGCAUAAGACCACGGGAUCACAUGGUUCUGGGGUAAAAGAUUUAUCGGUUUGGGGUGGGCUCGCGUCCGAUUAGGUAGUUGGUGAGGUAACGGCCCACCAAGCCGACGAUCGGUAGCCGACCUGAGAGGGUGAUCGGCCACAUUGGGACUGAGACACGGCCCAAACUCCUACGGGAGGCAGCAGUGGGGAAUAUUGGGCAAUGGGGGGAACCCUGACCCAGCAACGCCGCGUGGAGGAAGAAGGUUUUCGGAUCGUAAACUCCUGUCCUUGGAGACGAGUAGAAGACGGUAUCCAAGGAGGAAGCCCCGGCUAACUACGUGCCAGCAGCCGCGGUAAUACGUAGGGGGCAAGCGUUGUCCGGAAUAAUCGGGCGUAAAGGGCGCGUAGGCGGCUCGGUAAGUCUGGAGUGAAAGUCCUGCUUUUAAGGUGGGAAUUGCUUUGGAUACUGUCGGGCUUGAGUGCAGGAGAGGUUAGUGGAAUUCCCAGUGUAGCGGUGAAAUGCGUAGAGAUUGGGAGGAACACCAGUGGCGAAGGCGACUAACUGGACUGUAACUGACGCUGAGGCGCG